RNAcentral lists this long non-coding RNA (2335 nucleotides) under Vigna radiata. RNAcentral describes it as "long non-coding RNA (VRAD_LNC001450)". The record is from RNAcentral. Lineage: Eukaryota; Viridiplantae; Streptophyta; Magnoliopsida; Fabales; Fabaceae.
GGAUGAUUAGCAUUAUAAUAUGACAAAACAGUUAAGGAUGUAAUUAAAUUUAAGCUUUUUACAGUCAUCCAGAAUAGACUAGAAAUUUAAACUUUACAAGUUUUAGAAUAUUUCAAAAUACUUAACCAACUAAAGGUUCAAGGAGGCCUAAAGAGUGUAUUAAAAUACAGAUCAUAAUGAAAUAAAGGCUAUAAGUCUUUCAAAAUAAAGGCCAUCUAAAAUAAGUACUAGCACGAGUCCUAAGAACUAGAAGCUGGUUCUUCUGUAGUCUUCAAGGCUUACUCCAGGGGCACCUCAUCAGCUACUGCUCACAUCCAAAGAAUUGGAUGAUCAUCGCAAGGGGGAAAGGCAAACACAUACAACACACAAUGCAAGGGUAAGCUAGGUUGAAAAGCAUGCAAGAUAAGUCCAAAUUUACACUAACAUAUACAUAACAGUAUGCACACAAGCAAACAAGUAGGCAUUCUGUCAGAUUAUACAUUAAAUGGAACUAACUAUCAUAUUAUAUAAUCACAAACAACAUGCAAAGACCAUAACACCAUACUGACUAAGACUGAAUGCAUUUUGUUGAUACCAAUGACCAACCGCGUGAUUUGACCAUCCGGACUAGUAUGAAAUGUCGAGUUCUAGGGGUUUGUGCACUUGUAGUGGGCCUACUGCUUUGCAAAGCCAUUGCCAAGGGGUUUCACCCGACCACACAGAAGUGUAAGCCCUUUACCGAAUAAUAGGCAUCCACGUAGCACCUACUACUAGGACCUCCUGCUAUUCUUACCACAUGACUCAUCACUCUCUAAUUGAUCAUGGAUGGUCAUUAGAAUGCCAGGAUAAAACCCAUCCUGAACUCCGGUCAUUCAUACGGUCAAUCACAACAACUACAGGGCAUCACCAUGUAACCUCCCUUGAGGAUCAUGGAAUUACGUCCAUCGACCAUACUUUCACUUUAGAACUUAACUUAAGACGUGAACAAGUGAAUACCAUAAUGUUAUCACAUUGAAAUCCAUAUAAAAACCAUUCAAUAUACAUUAGGAUAUCAUAACAGUCCAAGAAGAAUCACUAAACAACCAAAAACCCCGUAACUCAUACUUAAACAAAGAAAAUGGCUUUGAAACCAUCACCAACAGUUUCGGAAGGGUCCAAAACCCCCAGAACGACUUAAAGAACAUCCAAAACGGACGUCCGGAACUCUCAGAAUGUCAAAAACAUCAAAAAUACUCAAUUUGUCACACAUAAUUUGCUCAGUGCACACCCUGGGGUGCGCUGAGCGAAUUUUUCCUGCCAGCAAGCCUUCGCAGAGCACACAGAGUACGCUAGGCGAUUCUGCAUGAUCUGCAACACCCUAAAACUGCAUAAUUAAGCAACUCUACCCUUCCAUACCAAUUCUAAUCAUUUUGAUGAACUUCUAGCAUUCUUAACUUGAUCUAUAUGAUAAAUCUAACUUGUCUAAUCAAUUCUAACACUCUCUAAUCUCUUUAUCUAGUAAUUAAUCAUGGUUUUCUAUUCUAAAUCUACAUUUUUAUCAGCUAAGAUGUCAAAAUUCUAAUUUUACUACCUAGAAAAUGUUUUAAGCCAUUUAGACACUAUCAACAAAUUAGGAAUAACUUGGUUAUAAUCUUCCAAUGGUCUAAGACAAACCACAACCACAGGAUCUAAAAACCACUAUGCCACUUCCCUCAAUUUUGCCUUAAGACUUCUAAUUUAUUCAACUUCCUGUCUAACAGGCCACAUCAUAACAGUUUCUAACAUCUCAGUAAUUCCAUCACACCACAGAAACUCACUUAUAACAGUUUUCUAAACCACCAUUUAAAAUAUCAUACUAAAAUCCACUCAACAGUAACAUGAUCUACAACAAAAUUCACACAUGCACUUCAUUUUACACCUUUCAAACAAAAUUUACAAAUCAUGCAACCAAAAAUCUAUCAAAAAACAGAGAAGAUGCCUAGCUUCCCUUACCUUCAAUUGGUAGCAUAGUACAAAGAAUUUUGUCCCCUUUUUCUUAAUCCUCAAAUAAAAGCAGAGUCACCUAUGGAUAAACAAUGGUAGAUAGAAAAGGGUUCUUAGGUUCUAAUAGAAACUAGAAAUUUUUGAAAAAAGAACAAGAUGAAUCACAUGCAGCAAAACUCUGUUGCAUGAUCCACAACCCCAAAUUGUAUGGAAAAAUGAGCAACAACUUACCCGCAGAGGAACCUAGAAAUUGACCGGUUGCAAAUGUUGCUCUUGAAGUCCUGAUCAACUAUGCAGCGUCUGAUCAAUAACUUAUGGUUAAAAUUUUGGAUCGAGAUGGAGAGGGAUGAUAAAACAGAGAAGAAGAACAUGGAGGAAGGGUGCUUCUCUUCAG